This 822-nucleotide ribosomal RNA is filed under the name uncultured bacterium. RNAcentral describes it as "bacterial SSU rRNA". It matches the Rfam family "Bacterial small subunit ribosomal RNA", at positions 8 to 808 of the family's 1533-position model. The record is from RNAcentral.
AGAGUUUGAUCCUGGCUCAGAUUGAACGCUGGCGGCGUGCUUAACACAUGCAAGUCGAACGCGAAAGGGGGCUUCGGCUCCCGAGUAGAGUGGCGCACGGGUGAGUAACGCGUUGAUAAUCUGCCCUCUUGUUCGGGAUAACUGCUGGAAACGGCAGCUAAUACCGGAUAAGCUCCACCAAUUGUAUGGUGGAGGAAAGGAGGCCUCUUCAUGAAAGCUUCCGCGAGGGGAUGAGUCCGCGUCCCAUUAGCUAGUUGGUGAGGUAACGGCCCACCAAGGCAACGAUGGGUAGCCGGUCUAAGAGGAUGACCGGCCACACUGGAACUGAAACACGGUCCAGACUCCUACGGGAGGCAGCAGUGGGGAAUAUUGCGCAAUGGACGAAAGUCUGACGCAGCGACGCCGCGUGAGGGAUGAAGGUUUUCGGAUCGUAAACCUCUGUCAGGAGGGAAGAAAGCGCAUGGCGCCAAUCAGCCAUGCGUUGACGGUACCUCCAAAGGAAGCGCCGGCUAACUCCGUGCCAGCAGCCGCGGUAAUACGGAGGGCGCGAGCGUUAAUCGGAAUUACUGGGCGUAAAGCGCGCGUAGGCUGUUGUGUAAGUUGGGGGUGAAAUCCCACGGCUCAACCGUGGAACAGCCCUUGAUACUGCGCGACUUGAAUCCGGGAGAGGGUGGCGGAAUUCCAGGUGUAGGAGUGAAAUCCGUAGAUAUCUGGAGGAACAUCAGUGGCGAAGGCGGCCACCUGGACCGGUAUUGACGCUGAGGCGCGAAAGCGUGGGGAGCAAACGAGGAUUAGAUACCCUGGUAGUCCACGCUGUAAACG